This 277-nucleotide unclassified non-coding RNA is filed under the name Venturia canescens. RNAcentral describes it as "uncharacterized LOC122418475, transcript variant X1". The record is from RNAcentral. Lineage: Eukaryota; Metazoa; Arthropoda; Insecta; Hymenoptera; Ichneumonidae.
GAUGCUGUGGCCUCGGCUUCAUCAGUAUCACCAAACGCAGGCGAACCGUCAACCGUGCAAGCCGCCACAUUAAGGAUCCUCGACGACGACGAUGAGACUCGUUGGAUUAUACAUUCGAUCGAGAGGUCAACUGCCCGUGAAAACACUUUCGAACGAACGGCGCUUUACUCCAUUUCGUCUCGAAUUUAUUGGAACUUUUGACAAUUUUGGGACGAAAUAAUUCGAAAUAAAAAUCAAAAUAAAAAUUCACCAAAUGUUAAUCGCGCAUCACUCAAAA